AUUGCGACUAGAAUUCGAUCGAUUGGUACGAGGGACCACGUGGCCAGGGGCUGGCCAAUGACCAGGCCGCCCGGGAUGAGCUAAUAAUGGAAGCAAUUUGUAACUUUCAGUAGCUCUCUAGGCCUGGGUACCGGAGGGAGGGAGGCGGGCAGAGGAGGGGAGAUGGGCACCCCCAGUCUUUCCAUCCUCCUCAUUCGUCUAGGGGCACCCGAAUCCCCUAUUCCUUAUUUCCCCUAUCACUCAGGCACUGGCAGGGUCCUUGGCCCACUCCUGUUGGCCGCCGCGGCUCCAAAGCGAGCUGGGCAGAUGUGCCUGAGACAGGUUUGACCAGGCAACUGAAAAGACAUCCCUAAGGGAAGACAAAGCAAAGGUAUGAAAGGAACACACGUCCCUGACUGACUAGGAGGAACAGAGCUGCCUGCUGUCUGGAACCGCUUCCUCCCAGACUAAGUGAGGCCCGGAGACAAGAUAUGACUUGCUUAAGGUCACACACUUAGUUUCUCUGUCAAU
RNAcentral lists this long non-coding RNA (510 nucleotides) under Homo sapiens (human). RNAcentral's name for it is "HSALNT0368435". The record is from RNAcentral. Lineage: Eukaryota; Metazoa; Chordata; Mammalia; Primates; Hominidae.